Molecule: long non-coding RNA, 245 nt
Filed under: Lathyrus oleraceus (garden pea)
Lineage: Eukaryota; Viridiplantae; Streptophyta; Magnoliopsida; Fabales; Fabaceae
Description: Pisum sativum (pea) long non-coding RNA (PSAT_LNC029720)
Source: RNAcentral
AAAACCGAACCAGCCCAAUAGAAAAACGCAAACCAAACCGAACCGCAAAAAAACGCAUUUGAUUUGGAUGUGUUUGAGUCAUUUUUUAACAAAACCGCGCGAUUCGGUUCUGUUUGUAGUUUGUAUUUUACAAUUCGAACCAAACUGAAACAAAUUGCAUUAUGUUACAACCCAAACAUCAUUUAUCCCAUAUCCAACCAAAAACCCAAACCUAUUAUGUCUUAUGUCUUAGCCUUACAAUUACG